RNAcentral lists this ribosomal RNA (1111 nucleotides) under uncultured soil eukaryote. RNAcentral's name for it is "SSU rRNA". It matches the Rfam family "Eukaryotic small subunit ribosomal RNA", at positions 13 to 1168 of the family's 1831-position model. The record is from RNAcentral.
CCUGCCAGUAGCAUAUGCUUGUCCCAAAGAUUAAGCCAUGCAAGUGAAAGUUCAGCCCAUAAACCGAAACUGCGAAUGGCUCAUUAAAUCAGUUACAAUCGACUUGAGGAGUGAUUCUACAUGGAUAGCCGUGACAAAUUCAGGAUUUUAAUACAUGCAUUAGGCUCUCUUUCGGGAGGGUGUGCUCAAUAGAUCCAAACCUCGUCCUGUUCGCAGGAGCGGUGAAUCAUAUGCAUCAUUCGGACCGCAAAAAUUACUUCGGCGGCACCUCAAUCAAGUAACUGCCCUAUCACGUUGUCGGUAGUGUCUUGGACUACCGAGCGGAUGACGGGUAACGGGGAAUUAGAGUUCGAUUCCGGAGAAAGAGCAUGAGACACGGCUAUUACAUCCAAGGAAGGCAGCAGGCGCGCAAAUUACCCAAUGCGCAUAUGCGUGAGGUAGUGACAGUACGUAGCAAUGGGGCGCACGAGCAAUGUGACCCAAUUGAAAUGAGAAAAAACUAAAGCACUGAAUGAGGAACGAUUGGAGGGCAAGUCUGGUGCCAGCAGCCGCGGUAAUUCCAGCUCCACGAGCGUAUAUUUGAGUUGUUGCAGUUAAAACGUGCGUAGUUGAUGAUCAGGGGCCGCGCUGAUGGCAAGCACCCUCCGGGGUGGACUGCCGGCCGGCACUCUACUGGCCGUGGACCUCGGUCCCGGUCACUAAUACCUCGAACAAAUGAGAGCGCAUGAGGCAGGCACCUGUUGCCGGAAUCGAUUAGCAUGGAAUAACACAUGGACCGCAGUGUCUUGUUGUUGGUUAAAGACGUUGCAGUAAUGAUUAACAGGGGUACUUGGGGCCAACCGUACUCUGGGGCUAGGGGUGAAAUCCUGUGACCCUCAGAAGACGACCUAAUGCGAAAGCAGUUGGCUAAGGUACUUUCAUUGAUCAAGCACGAAGGGUGGGGGAGCAAAGACGAUUAGACACCGUUGUAGUCCCACCAGUAAACUAUGUCGACGCGAUCACGGGUGUCUGUGUUAGCAGCGCUCGGGAGCGUAUAGAAAUUAGAGUCUUUGGACUCUGGGGGGAGUAUGGUCGCAAGUCUGAAACUUAAAGGAAUUGACGGAAGGGCACC